RNAcentral lists this ribosomal RNA (414 nucleotides) under uncultured bacterium. Its description in RNAcentral is "bacterial SSU rRNA". It matches the Rfam family "Bacterial small subunit ribosomal RNA", at positions 28 to 424 of the family's 1533-position model. The record is from RNAcentral.
GAUGAACGCUGGCGGCGUGCUUAACACAUGCAAGUCGAGCGAAGCACUUACCAUUGACUCUUCGGAAGAUUUGGUAAAUGACUGAGCGGCGGACGGGUGAGUAACGCGUGGGCAACCUGCCUCAUACAGGGGAAUAACAGUUAGAAAUGGCUGCUAAUGCCGCAUAAGCGCACAGUACCGCAUGGUACGGUGUGAAAAACCGAGGUGGUAUGAGAUGGACCCGCGUCUGAUUAGGUAGUUGGUGGGGUAAUGGCCUACCAAGCCGACGAUCAGUAGCCGGCCUGAGAGGGUGAACGGCCACAUUGGGACUGAGACACGGCCCAGACUCCUACGGGAGGCAGCAGUGGGGAAUAUUGCACAAUGGGGGAAACCCUGAUGCAGCGACGCCGCGUGAAGGAAGAAGUAUCUCGGUAU